This 103-nucleotide small RNA is filed under the name Flavobacterium aquidurense. RNAcentral describes it as "Flavo-1 RNA". It matches the Rfam family "Flavo-1 RNA". Lineage: Bacteria; Pseudomonadati; Bacteroidota; Flavobacteriia; Flavobacteriales; Flavobacteriaceae. The record is from RNAcentral.
UGUGAGCGUUAGGGAUGGAAGCGGCAUCCUUUUGCGAUACCUUGAAUUCUCUCUUAAGACGAAACUUCAAUCGCAAAAGAUAUAGCGGACAGCCCGACCGGAG